Molecule: ribosomal RNA, 241 nt
Filed under: uncultured Comamonadaceae bacterium
Lineage: Bacteria; Pseudomonadati; Pseudomonadota; Betaproteobacteria; Burkholderiales; Comamonadaceae
Description: partial 16S ribosomal RNA
Rfam family: Bacterial small subunit ribosomal RNA
Source: RNAcentral
AUUGAACGCUGGCGGCAUGCCUUACACAUGCAAGUCGAACGGCAGCACGGGAGCAAUCCUGGUGGCGAGUGGCGAACGGGUGAGUAAUACAUCGGAACGUGCCCAAUCGUGGGGGAUAACGCAGCGAAAGCUGUGCUAAUACCGCAUACGAUCUACGGAUGAAAGCAGGGGACCGCAAGACCUUGCGCGAAUGGAGCGGCCGAUGCCAGAUUAGGUAGUUGGUGAGGUAACGGCUGAUUAG